Molecule: long non-coding RNA, 7227 nt
Organism: Aethalodelphis obliquidens (Pacific white-sided dolphin)
Lineage: Eukaryota; Metazoa; Chordata; Mammalia; Artiodactyla; Delphinidae
Exons: 6
Source: RefSeq, a predicted model, not a curated record
GCCGCAUGUGGGAUCCUCCUGGACCGGGGCACAAACCCGUGUCCCCCGCAUCGGCAGGCGGACUCUCAACCACUGCGCCGCCAGGGAAGCCCUAUCUGUGCUCCCUUUUAGCUCAUCGACCACCCUUUACUAUUUUGAAUUAUCUGGUAAUUCAUGGAUCUCUCCUUCUCUGGGGUUGGCUUCUGGAGACUUAUUCUGACCAGGUGGUUGGGCUGUGUUUCCCUUUUCUUUGUAUGCCAUGUAAUCUUUUAUUGGGAAUUGGGCAUUUGGAAAAACAGCCACCUCUCCCAGUCUCUGGACUGGCCUUGUAUGGGGGAAGUCAUCUCAGCUAGAGAUUUGGGGGACCUUUCAACCCUUUUCUGGGGAUGCAUCUUUUCUGGGCUUGUGUGUAUGAUUUCCUAGUUAGACUUGCCACUGUUUUCUUCUCAGGAGCCUGCAGUCUCUUACUCCCUCUGGUGUCUGUCUGUGGUACUGCAUUCCCCACGGUAUAACUUGGACAGAACAUGACUGUUCUCAAGGGCCCCCCAACCUGGCAUCCCUCCCAUCAGUGUCCUGAGUCAGAGAGACAGAAACUAGUCUCUUAGGCAGCCCCUCAAAAAGCCAAAACUUUGGACUCAUGUGUCACUCUUUUUUUUCCCUCCCAGGAGAGAAGCUGGGAGUUUUCUGGUCUUCUGUCCUCACUGGGGGAGUGGGAGGGACUAGGGCAGGCGAAAUGCGAGGAAUGUUCUUACAUCCUGUGUGGCUCUUCUUGGCUUCGUGCUCACCUGGUGCUGCAGCCUCUUCCCUGGAUUCUGGAGUUCUCACAAGGACACUGGUCUGUGUAUCCCUGCUAUGUCGUUGUCUCUGAUUGGGAAUGAGGGUCUGGAGCUUCUAUUCCUCUGUCUCGCUGACGUCACCCUACGGACUCUUGCUGAAAUAUAAUCAAAUAUCAUUGUUACCACUAAAAAUAGCAGUAAUCUCAGUAUCCUUAAAUAUCCAGUAGUAGUCAAAUUUCCUUGAAUGGUUUUAUUGCGUAUUUAUUUGAAUAGGGAUCUAACUGAUUGAUGUGUUUCUCAAAUUUCUUUCAAUCUAGUGGUUCCCCUUCCAUCUAAGAAAUCAUUUAAAUACACACAGGCCUCAUUUUGCAUGGGACCAGAGAAAAUAAACACGCAAGCUGAAAACAUGCAAAAUGGUCCUAAUAAUCAAUAGGAAAAAAAUAUGAUUGUUCUGUGCCUGUAAAAUUUUACAAAAUAUUAAGUCUUUUGCUUUCAGUUAUAACUGUAAAGGAAAAUGUAAAAUAGUAGAACUUAUAUUUAAUAUACUGUCAUCUGAAAUAUUAGUAAUAUUGAGAAUUAAAAUAUUCUGUGUCUUUGUUAAAAAAGAAAAAAGCAAAAAACAAAAACCCAAACUUAAUCAAUAGUAAUUUGAACAGUGCUUGUCUUCUCAUCACAUAACUUACAAGCAUUUUUUUCUAUGCCUUGGUGAGUUGUCAUAUUUCUAACUUUGGUUAUGAAAUAUUUCUGGAUUCUUUUUAAUGUGUAGCUUUUUAAUGGUAUCCCUCCUCUGGAACAUCAUCGUCCUUCUCAUCACAACAGCUUUCCUUAUUCAUCUCAGUAAGUCUGUCUUCACUAAGUCCCUUUGGCUGCAUCUCUGAGCCUCUCAGUGUUGCACUGUCAACACGCCCAUGGUCCACUGUUUGUUCCAUAACCCCAUUUACAUUUGAUUCAAACUUCACUUCCAUCGUUCUCACACUUCGUUUCUUUGCUGUGCUUUUGUCUUUGUUGGCCAGUUUCCUGUUCUAGCUCUCCAUUUUUGUAAAAUGUCACAUGGGUUUAUUGCUGGGAGACACAGCAGCAACACAACUACAUGCUUUGUUGUCUUUGCUGCCUCUGUGAAGAUUGAGUAACACAUGCUUGGUGACCAAUCACUAGACUUUGAAAGAAAUGACAUUCUAUGUGUGUGUGUUAUUUACUCGGUGAAUUGUGGACUGAAGAGCUAGCCACAGAGUUUAUCCUCUGUGCAGUUAUUCACAAAUGAUAUACUGUAGUAGCUGUUAACAGGAACUGUGUUCGUGGGGACGGGUGGUGUCUCCCUCAACGGUGAUAAGCAAAGCUCGUGCUUGCCAGAACCUUGCAAAGCCAAGGCAGCCUGCACUUGUCUUAGAAGCAUCUCUUAUUUCUUGGGGUCAGUUAUCUAUUUACUUUGGCUUUUCCUUUUGAAACUAUGGGGAUCUUUGUUUUCUUUUAUUCGUAAUUAAGAAUUAUAAUUAAACUUUUCUUUCUGGUACUGGUCUGGAUUUUCCCUCAUAUGUAGAUGGACCUGGUUCUCUGAUAUGCCUUUCUUCACCAUUAGAAGGAUUUCCAUGGACUGGAAUUCCCAGUAGGGUCCACCUAUAGGGAGUCAACUGCUAUACUGGGGACCCUCACAACAGACACCCCUUAAGUGAAGAGCAACAGUUGGUCACACUUGAUACUUUAUCUUUUCCCAGGCGUCACUCAACUUACAGAUUCUUCCUCAUCCAGGACACACCUCGUUAGCAAGAGAGGUGGAGUAACGUGGUGUGGGGUAGAGGCUCCUAAGCAAGGCUGUCUGUCCUCAAAAAUUGCCUCUGUUCUUUUCUAGCUGAGGCUGUGAGUUAUUUAUACUUCUGUAUCUUAACUUUUCUCAUCAAUAAAAUAACAGUAGUAGAAAAUGCCUCAUGGAAUUGUUUGAAAAUGAAAAUACGUAGGACAGUGGUUGGCACAGAGUAAGAGCUGUUUAAGUGUUUGAAAAUGAAUAGCUUUGAAUUUCAAGAAAUGAAAUGGAUCUGAAAAUAGGCCCCUUUAAUUUCUUGUCUCCACAUCUGGAACAGUUCCCUGAAUACAAGGAGGUUUAAGAAAUUUUUUUUCCUGAUUAAAAAUCAACUAGGUUCCGUGGUGACUGCUUUUGCAUUUAAGUAGGUGGUUAAUAGGAAGUAAAUGUAUAAGUUUGAAGGACUAAGUGUGUCCCUGACAGGCCACACAGGCAUCGCAGUAGCAAUUAAAAUGAAUUUAUCGUACAGCCAGCGAAGAGAGGGAAGAGACACAGCAAAGGCAACUCGGUGACACGAUUCCAAACAUCUGUUUGCUUCUAUUUUUGGUAAUCAUUGCAUUCUCACAGUACUUCAGUCAGAGCUGGGGGAAAGCAAGAACACUACCUAUUUAAAGCCCAACAAAAAGACCAUAAUAAAAUAUUCAGCAAAAGUUCUAACAAAGCUGUAUUAAACAGAAAAAGAACCAUGGACAUUGUUGUCCUGUAAGCGCUUGUCAGGUGUUUCUGAUCAUAUUAUUCACUUAUGAUUGCGCAUAUUGUACAUCAAGUCUCAAGUGUCUUCAUUUCUAAAGGCAUCAACACUGAGCAGGAGUCUUUCAAGGACAAAUCGCAUAAAACUUUCCUUUAAAGAAAAUGAGGGAAAACCCACGAGAGCAAGAAGUAAAUUGUCUUUUAAAACAGGAAGGAGAAAUAAACCAGCUACACUAAAAUUAGGAAGCCUCACUGAUCCCAAUUCAGUCAGUUGUUGCCAUGAUGUCAGAAAAUGAUGUUGACAGAUGCAUGGUCCUUAAAGAUGUUUUUAUUUUUCCUUUGAAACAGUCUCAAACUUGUAUAAAAGCUGCAAGAACAGUACAGAGAACGUUUCAUCAGCCAUUUGGGUGACAAUUAUCAACAUGACAUCAUCAUCCAAAUACUUGGGAAAAGCGUUCUGGACCAGGGGGAGACCGCCUCUGUUUCAUCUCCUGAGUGUCACCGGGUUAGAUGCAGCCCAGAGAACCUGGCGUGGGCUCAGGGCAUGGGGAGACUCCGGCUGGGCCUCUGCAGCCGGAUCCCAGAUUCUUUUCCAUUAUGGAAGAUGACUUCUUAACCCAAGGACAUACCUCUUAAUCUAAGAUCCCAUGCAGGUGACCGCAGGACACGUGGCCGUCCUGUCUCCUCUAGUUUCUCUUGAUGACCUUGACGGUUCUGAGGCUACUGGCUGCGAAUAUUUUAAGAUGCCCCUCGGUUUGCACGUGUCUGAUGCUUUUCUGGUGGUCGAGCCGGGUUAUGGAUUUGGUGGCAGAAGACCACAGAGGUGCCGGGCUGUUUCAUCACCUGGUGUCACGCAGUUGAUAUGACCAAUCACUGGGCGUGUUGACCUUGGUCACCCGGCUGAAGGGGUGCUUGGCGGGUUUCCCCACCAUCAAGGCCCGAGCAGCCCUUUGGAGUGUGGCUGGGACAUUUUCAAAGCUGUUGACAGAUGGGGAGCUGCUCUUCAGAGAGGAGAGGUGAUUAGGACACAGAUGUGCACGGAGGGAAGCCAAAGUGAGGACGCAGGGAGAAGGCGGCCAUCUGCCAGCCCAGGAGAGAGGCCUCGGGAGGAGCCCACCCUGCCGACACCCUGAUCUUGGACUCCCAGCCUCCAGAACUCUGAGAGGUGAAUGAUUGUCGUUUAAGCUGCCCGUGUGUGGUGCUUGCUACAGCAGCUCUGGCAAACUAACCACUGGCUUUGAUAGAGGCCCCAGAAGAUUCCGGGCCGGGGCAGGAGCGUCCCCAGAGGUGACCAGGCCACAGCUUCUGGUGUCAGCAGGUGACCAGUGCAGGCAGCUCUGGGUGAUGCUGUCUCCUCCCAGGGUACCAGGAGGACCUCCUGAGGCCAUGAGGAAAGCUCUGAGCAGCCUCUCCUUGGCUUGCAGAUGCCGUGUUCCCGGGUGUCUUCAUGUGGCCCUCCCUCUGUGUGUGCUCUGUUUCCUCCCACGAUGGUCUGGUAUUAGGGGCCUACACGGGACACCAUCUAAGCUUAGCUGAUUACGUCUGUAAUGACCCUGUUUCCAGAUGAGGUCCCAUUCUGAGGUCCUGGAGGUUGUGACUUCAACAUACCAUUCUGGGAUGACACAAGUCAACUCAUAACUGUUGCCAACCCCCAAAUCUAAUUCCCUAGUUUAGUUUCUCAGGGUUAUAAUUUGAAUAUUUAAAUCAAUAUCACAGAUGGGAGAGGUUGCUAAAAAUUAGAAAAAACCCACCCAGUCUAGAGAAACCCGAUUUCUGGGUGCCGGGCAAGGGUCAGGGGGGUGGUCUGCAUCCACAGUGCCCCCAGAGCAGCCCUGGGGAGUCUGGAAGCUUAGCCUUUCUCCACUUCCCUGCUGUAACAGCCUCCUCGUGGGCUUUCCUGUCCACCCAUCCCUCACGCUGCUGGCCGACUGGACUUUAUCACGUCUUUAUUUCACAAACACACUGACUUCACUGUGUGCUUGACUCAUAGAGAUGUUACUACACUCAUUGCUUGUAGCAACCGCAGGAAGUGAGUUCUGACCUUACACCUAUUUGGGAGCUGAGCUCAGUGAGCAGAGCUGGGCCAGGAGGGCACCGCCCCCAGGCUGUCAAAUGCAUAGUGCUGCCAGCAUGGCUUACCUGGGCCUCCACCUUCUCUCCUCCUGGGGCCUCAUCCCCGUGGACUGCGCCACUGCCCCCCCACCGCCUGCAGAGCGAAGGUGGCCCAGCGCCAGGCGUAUCAGCUGCCGUUCUCGGGCCCCUCCCCAGACCUCCAGCCCAGAACCAGAAGCUCAGCGGGGGAUGAGAAGGCAGGGAUUUGUGAUAAGGAGGCGAUUCGGAGACACUCUCAAGCUUGAGACUCGUGCCCAAGCUCCGCCCGUCUGGGGGGCUGUGUCCUUGAAGCCCCCGCCGUCCCGGCCCCACCUCCCCCUUCGAUGCAGCCUUUCUCUGAAACUCCCUGCGGCCUCUUCUUCCGCUACCGGCGCUCGGUCCCUCUUCAGAGCCAGUCCCGAGUGUCCCUUCUUUAUGAAGGCUUUUUGCUUUAUCUCCGUGCCUGUUCUUGUAACCAGCCCUGCGGUCUCUCCUCAGAAGGAUCUUCUUCACCUUCUGUACCUACUUUUUUCUUUAUAAUAGUUUUCUUGCACUUGCACUGUCAUCACUGCACUUGUCCCCUUAAAGCCAGCCAUCUGAGACUGUGUUCAACAAAGCACUGUAUUGAAUGACUACUAUUAACCCAUGGAAAACCUUCUUUAAAACUAAGUACAUGGACAAAAAAGAGAUUAGGAGUGAUGAUUCACUUUGGGAAAAAAAUGUCUUACAAAGAAGGAUUCAAAAGAUAAUCCUUUAACAGGGCAAUUGUUUGAAAAUGAUUUCUCUCUCCCAUCCAAACAUCUGGGCUCUGGCUCCCACCGACAGUCUGAAGGCUUCCGUGUCUGCUGUGUUCCCAGUUCUGUCACAUGUACCCGCCUGCCCACAUCAGAGAGACUCUCUCAGGGCACUUAGAUUUGGGAGUCCGCCAUCUAGCGCUCAGAGUUGAAUGGAACGCUCCCGCGUGGUCUGACUUUCGUGAAAGCGCAUCUCUUUUUGUUCGUGGUCCUUUGCCAGCUACUUCACUCUUGAUUUCAGCAACCACAGCUCACUGGCGGCUCUGUGGGCGACUAAAACCACCAGACGCCUCUCCUCACUUGAACUGCGAAGUCUCAGACCGCCCUGACGUGCGUCUGAUCAGAGAGUAUGUUGAUGACUCUGUUGUUUCUAACAGAUGCAUAAAUACUUUGCAUCCUGGAACAUGGCUGCAUCAGAUGAGUUUUGAGUAACCACAACCCCCACGUCAUCUAUUUGAACUGGACUCACCACUGACGCUGAAAGGUCUUGAAAGGUCUUGCCUGCCCUCCAAGCCCUCUGGCCCGUCCCCUUCGCCACAAAAGCCCAAAAUGCUCCAAACCACGUUUUUAAAGAACUCAUUUGGUGGUAAAACCUGAUCCAGAGCUAUUUAUAGGCUCUAUUCAUCCCACUUCCUAUGAGUUCAGGCAUUUUUCCCUGCAGAAAUGUUUUAUUUGAUUAAUGGUUUCUUCUCUAGUGUUCACUGAGGGUUUGCCACCAAAUAUUCAUGGUAUUAACCUCUUAAAUAAAAACAAAAACAAAAAACAAACCUUAAAUCAAAAACACAUCUGACCCUGAGGGUAGCAGAUGAGGGCUUAAGGACUUGUCUGAGCCCCAGCAUAAGUGUAAUUUAAAAAAAUUCACAGAUUGUUUUCUUGCUUUGUGGCACGGUAUUGACUUUUGGUGCUGUAAAUAGAGCCACUUUUGGUUCUAGAAGUUCUGUAUUAACAUUGCACAUUGGCCAAUCCAGAUUAUAUCUGACAAAUCUCUCCAACAGCCUAGAGAUGGAAGCCACCAAGACUGCCCCCAUCAUUUCCAGAUUUAAGGGAAAUAUUCACUAUCACUCGGUGACCAUCUCGGGAGCCUUGGGACAUUUUUGGCACU